UGUAACCAGGCAUCUGCCUCAGAUUUAGAAAAAUAGCUGCACUGUGGUUAAGAAUUCACCACAACGAUCAAGACAUCAGAUGUGGGUGUUACAUGUGGAGGGUGUCCUCAGGUCCAUGGUGAGACAGCUGAAUGCUUCUCUGGAGAAAUAUCCUCGUAAAAGUGGAAACAGCUCAGAGUGGCAUCCUCCAUCUUCUUUACACCACAGCAGGUCUCUCUCCAGUCAGCCAGCUGAUCCAUAGAUGUGGCUUUAGAUGUUCUUACACUAUUCGAAGGCAGAACUCAAGAGAAUUUAAAUAUUUCUGUCCCAAACAGACACUUUAAGUCAUUCCUGUUGAUUGAUGUUUACUCGUCUGGUAUAUAAAAUAGGGAUGUCACCAAAGAUUAGGCGCCUGCAGCACCAUGGCUUUUGUGUCAUGAGAACUAAAAAUGCAACAUAUAUUUGUUUGAACCCAGUUUCCUUCGCGAACCUGACUGCUUCAAUCACUCAUGCAAUGAUCGUUUCUCUUAAGCUGUUGUUUGACAUUCACGAGAGGAAAGUAAUUUCACACCAGAGUGUAUCAUUACUCAACUGUCCCAUAAGCAAUGAGAAAUCGUUUCCAAAUUGUAA
Long non-coding RNA from Morone saxatilis (striped sea-bass), 609 nucleotides. RefSeq lists it as uncharacterized. Lineage: Eukaryota; Metazoa; Chordata; Actinopteri; Moronidae. The record is from RefSeq and is a predicted model, not a curated record. The transcript is spliced from 4 exons.